Molecule: ribosomal RNA, 253 nt
Filed under: uncultured bacterium
Lineage: Bacteria
Description: partial 16S ribosomal RNA
Rfam family: Bacterial small subunit ribosomal RNA
Source: RNAcentral
UACGAAGGGGGCUAGCGUUGUUCGGAAUUACUGGGCGUAAAGCGCGCGCAGGCGGCUAUCCAAGUCAGUGGUGAAAGCCCGGAGCUCAACUCCGGAACUGCCAUUGAAACUGUUUAGCUUGAGGACGAGAGAGGUGAGUGGAAUUCCUGGUGUAGCGGUGAAAUGCGCAGAUAUCAGGAGGAACACCAACGGCGAAGGCAGCUCUCUGGGACGUUACUGACGCUGAGACGCGAAAGCGUGGGGAGCAAACAGG